AAACCUUUCUCUUCUAUUCUAAUGAAUGAAAGAAAAUAUAAUAAAACUUAGAAAUAAAUUCAUCCUAUUCUUAACCUCGAUAUUUCUUUUUUAUCUAUUAAAAAAGAAGAUAAAGAUUUUUCUUUAUAUAUAUAUAUAUAUAUAUAUGAAGAUUAUGUGUUCUCGUGAGACUAGAAUUGAGAUUGCGUUACGUGCGGUGAGAAAGUACGUUGAAAAAAUAUUCUGUUUAUUUCUGUAUGUAAUAUUGCGUUCCACAUAUCGCGAUAAGUCGGUUACGAUAUAUUUUCUGCUGUCCAACCGGAGAACGCAGAAGGAUAUCCCUAUAUGCUUUUUCUUGAACUCCAUUUUAUCUAAUAGCGUUAGAUAGACAUCAAUACCAAACUAAACCUAAGCUACCGUUUGAUUCGGGGUUAAGGAAAAACUAAUUAUUCCAGGAAUAGGUUUAAGUUCAGGGUUAAGGUGGGGUUAGAGUAUUUUUAUAUUUGGUUGGGGGUUGGAGUUAGUUCAGGAUAGUAAAAAAUAAUGUUUGGUUGGAGUAGGUGGGAUAAGAAGGAUAGUGGGUUACUAUGAAUAGAAAAUAGUGUUUGGUUGGAGUUUUGUGGAGUUAGGUGGAAUUAGCUAAUCCGGGAUAGCCCAUUUGAGGUGGGAUUAGCUAACCCCACCCAUUUUU
Molecule: long non-coding RNA, 670 nt
Filed under: Ananas comosus (pineapple)
Lineage: Eukaryota; Viridiplantae; Streptophyta; Magnoliopsida; Poales; Bromeliaceae
Description: long non-coding RNA (ACOM_LNC032448)
Source: RNAcentral